RNAcentral lists this ribosomal RNA (1353 nucleotides) under Microbacterium sp. Its description in RNAcentral is "partial 23S ribosomal RNA". It matches the Rfam family "Bacterial large subunit ribosomal RNA", at positions 461 to 1694 of the family's 2925-position model. Lineage: Bacteria; Bacillati; Actinomycetota; Actinomycetes; Micrococcales; Microbacteriaceae. The record is from RNAcentral.
UAAGCCUAAAUACUCCCAGAUGACCGAUAGCGGACAAGUACCGUGAGGGAAAGGUGAAAAGUACCCCGGGAGGGGAGUGAAAUAGUACCUGAAACCGUUUGCUUACAAACCGUUGGAGCCUCCUUAGCAGGGGUGACAGCGUGCCUUUUGAAGAAUGAGCCUGCGAGUUAGCGAUAUGUGGCGAGGUUAACCCGAGUGGGGUAGCCGUAGCGAAAGCGAGUCUGAAUAGGGCGAUUCAGUCGCAUGUCCUAGACCCGAAGCGAAGUGAUCUAUCCAUGGCCAGGCUGAAGCGACGGUAAGACGUCGUGGAGGGCCGAACCCACUUGGGUUGAAAACCGAGGGGAUGAGCUGUGGAUAGGGGUGAAAGGCCAAUCAAACUUCGUGAUAGCUGGUUCUCUCCGAAAUGCAUUUAGGUGCAGCGUUGCGUGUUUCUUGCCGGAGGUAGAGCUACUGGAUGGCCGAUGGGCCCUACAAGGUUACUGACGUCAGCCAAACUCCGAAUGCCGGUAAGUGAGAGCGCAGCAGUGAGACUGUGGGGGAUAAGCUUCAUAGUCGAGAGGGAAACAACCCAGACCACCAACUAAGGUCCCAAAGCGCGUGCUAAGUGGGAAAGGAUGUGGAGUUGCCUUGACAACCAGGAGGUUGGCUUAGAAGCAGCCACCCUUGAAAGAGUGCGUAAUAGCUCACUGGUCAAGUGAUUCCGCGCCGACAAUGUAACGGGGCUCAAGCACGCCACCGAAGUUGUGGCAUUGAUAUUAUUGGUAGGCCUUCGUGGUCCAGCCGUAUUGAUGGGUAGGAGAGCGUCGUGUGGCCAGCGAAGCGGCGGUGUGAACCAGCCGUGGAGGCUACACGAGUGAGAAUGCAGGCAUGAGUAGCGAAAGACGUGUGAGAAACACGUCCUCCGAAAGACCAAGGGUUCCAGGGUCAAGCUAAUCUUCCCUGGGUAAGUCGGGACCUAAGGCGAGGCCGACAGGCGUAGUCGAUGGACAACGGGUUGAUAUUCCCGUACCGGCGAAGAACCGCCCAAACCAAUCCAGUAAUGCUAAGUGUCUGAAUCCCUGUGACGGAUCCCUUCGGGGUGAAGCGUUGGGCCUAGCACACGACCCUAUGCUGAGGCGGUUAGCGUAUUAACAGGUGUGACGCAGGAAGGUAGCCCAAGCCAGGCGAUGGUAGUCCUGGUGCAAGUGCGUAGGCCGAGUGAUAGGCAAAUCCGUCACUCAUUCAGGCUGAGACACGAUGCGGAUAAAAAGUGGGUGAUCCUAUGCUGCCAAGAAAAGCAUCGACGCGAGGUUCAAGCCGCCCGUACCCCAAACCGACUCAGGUGGUCAGGUAGAGAAUACCAAGGAGAUCGAG